UCGAGAAUCUUUCGCAAUGCCCGAAAGGGUGACGAAGCGACGCCGCGUGCGGGAAGAAGGCCUUCGGGUUGUAAACCGCUGUCGGGAGUUAAGAAAUGCAAGGAUGUUAAUAGCAUCUUUGUUUGACUAAGGCUCCGGAGGAAGCCACGGCUAACUCUGUGCCAGCAGCCGCGGUAAUACAGAGGCGGCAAGCGUUGUUCGGAAUUAUUGGGCGUAAAGAGCACGUAGGCGGCUGUGUAAGUCGGUUGUGAAAGCCUUCCGCUUAACGGAAGAACGGCAUCCGAUACUGCAUAGCUCGAGUGCGGGAGGGGAGAGUGGAACUUCUGGUGGAGCGGUGAAAUGCGUAGAUAUCAGAAGGAACACCGGCGGCGAAGGCGACUCUCUGGCCCGUAACUGACGCUGAGUGUGCGAAAGCUAGGGGAGCAAACGGGAUUAGAUACCCACGUAGUCCCUGAGCGGGCUGGCAAGGCGCAU
Molecule: ribosomal RNA, 474 nt
Filed under: uncultured bacterium
Lineage: Bacteria
Description: bacterial SSU rRNA
Rfam family: Bacterial small subunit ribosomal RNA
Source: RNAcentral